Vicia faba (fava bean) is the source of this 228-nucleotide non-coding RNA. NCBI's taxonomy places the organism in Eukaryota, Viridiplantae, Streptophyta, Magnoliopsida, Fabales, Fabaceae. The record is from the annotation of a GenBank genome assembly.
AUGUUUGAUGUUUUGCAUCUAUUCUAUAUGAAUUAUCGCACUAUAGCCUCUGGUGGUGUUAUUCAUGUGCGGAUCCAGGAUAGCUAUUGGUAUCAAGCUUCAAUUUUCAUGUCUGGUAUGACCUUUCUGUCAUCAUCCAUUUUAGGAGUUGCUCGUUGUGCGAUGCUGGAGCCUUCUUCAGUUAGUGUUGAUUUUUUUGGGUUAUUAGUUAUUGUAACUACUUUGUAG